Molecule: ribosomal RNA, 492 nt
Filed under: uncultured bacterium
Lineage: Bacteria
Description: bacterial SSU rRNA
Rfam family: Bacterial small subunit ribosomal RNA
Source: RNAcentral
CUACGUGCCAGCAGCCGCGGUAAUACGUAGGUGGCAAGCGUUGUCCGGAAUUAUUGGGCGUAAAGCGCGCGCAGGCGGAUUGGUCAGUCUGUCUUAAAAGUUCGGGGCUUAACCCCGUGAUGGGAUGGAAACUGCCAAUCUAGAGUAUCGGAGAGGAAAGUGGAAUUCCUAGUGUAGCGGUGAAAUGCGUAGAUAUUAGGAAGAACACCAGUGGCGAAGGCGACUUUCUGGACGAAAACUGACGCUGAGGCGCGAAAGCCAGGGGAGCGAACGGGAUUAGAUACCCCGGUAGUCCUGGCCGUAAACGAUGGGUACUAGGUGUAGGAGGUAUCGACCCCUUCCGUGCCGGAGUUAACGCAAUAAGUACCCCGCCUGGGGAGUACGACCGCAAGGUUGAAACUCAAAGGAAUUGACGGGGGCCCGCACAAGCGGUGGAGCAUGUGGUUUAAUUCGAUGCAACGCGAAGAACCUUACCUACUCUUGACAUCCAGA